ACGUGAGUAAUCUGCCCCGUACUCUGGGAUAGCCUUGGGAAACUGAGAUUAAUACCGGAUAUGAAACGCAUUCGCAUGGGUGUGUUUGGAAAGUUUUUCGGUACGGGAUGUGCUCGCGGCCUAUCAGCUUGUUGGUGAGGUAAUGGCUCACCAAGGCUUCGACGGGUAGCCGGCCUGAGAGGGUGACCGGCCACACUGGGACUGAGACACGGCCCAGACUCCUACGGGAGGCAGCAGUGGGGAAUAUUGGACAAUGGGCGGAAGCCUGAUCCAGCAACGCCGCGUGAGGGAUGACGGCCU
This 300-nucleotide ribosomal RNA is filed under the name uncultured Nocardioidaceae bacterium. RNAcentral describes it as "bacterial SSU rRNA". It matches the Rfam family "Bacterial small subunit ribosomal RNA", at positions 115 to 417 of the family's 1533-position model. The record is from RNAcentral. Lineage: Bacteria; Bacillati; Actinomycetota; Actinomycetes; Propionibacteriales; Nocardioidaceae.